AGUGAACGCUGGCGACAGGCCUAACACAUGCAAGUCGAACGGCAGCACAGUAAGAGCUUGCUCUUACGGGUGGCGAGUGGCGGACGGGUGAGGAAUACAUCGGAAUCUACUUUUUCGUGGGGGAUAACGUAGGGAAACUUACGCUAAUACCGCAUACGACCUACGGGUGAAAGCAGGGGAUCUUCGGACCUUGCGCGAUUGAAUGAGCCGAUGUCGGAUUAGCUAGUUGGCGGGGUAAAGGCCCACCAAGGCGACGAUCCGUAGCUGGUCUGAGAGGAUGAUCAGCCACACUGGAACUGAGACACGGUCCAGACUCCUACGGGAGGCAGCAGUGGGGAAUAUUGGACAAUGGGCGCAAGCCUGAUCCAGCCAUACCGCGUGAGUGAAGAAGGCCUUCGGGUUGUAAAGCCCUUUUGUUGGGAAAGAAAAGCAGCAGGUUAAUACCCCGCUGUUCUGACGGUACCCAAAGAAUAAGCACCGGCUAACUUCGUG
RNAcentral lists this ribosomal RNA (492 nucleotides) under uncultured bacterium. Its description in RNAcentral is "partial 16S ribosomal RNA". It matches the Rfam family "Bacterial small subunit ribosomal RNA", at positions 29 to 507 of the family's 1533-position model. The record is from RNAcentral.